This 490-nucleotide ribosomal RNA is filed under the name uncultured bacterium. RNAcentral's name for it is "partial 16S ribosomal RNA". It matches the Rfam family "Bacterial small subunit ribosomal RNA", at positions 30 to 507 of the family's 1533-position model. The record is from RNAcentral.
AUUGAACGCUGGCGGCAGGCUUAACACAUGCAAGUCGAACGGUAACACGAAGAUGCUUGCUUCUUUGCUGGCGAGUGGCGGGCGUGAGAGAAAUGUCCGUGACACUGCCUGGUGGAGGGGGCUACCUACUGGAAACGGUUGCUACUACCGCCUAACGUCGCAAGACCAAAAAGCGGGACCUUCGGGCCUCUUGCCAUCGGCUGUGCCGAGAUGGGAUUAGCUAGUAGGUGGGGUAACGGCUUACCACGGCGACGAUCCGUAGCUGGUCUGAGAGGACGACCAGCCACACUGGGACUGAGACACGGCCCAGACUCCUACGGGAGGCAGCAGUGGGGAAUUUUGGACAAUGGGGGCAACCCUGAUCCAGCCAUGCCGCGUGCGGGAAGAAGGCCUUCGGGUUGUAAACCGCUUUUGUUCGGGAAGAAAUACUCUGGGCUAAUACCCCGGGGGGAUGACGGUACCGGAAGAAUAAGCACCGGCUAACUACGUG